Long non-coding RNA from Sardina pilchardus (European sardine), 269 nucleotides. RefSeq lists it as uncharacterized. Lineage: Eukaryota; Metazoa; Chordata; Actinopteri; Clupeiformes; Clupeidae. The transcript has 3 exons. The record is from RefSeq and is a predicted model, not a curated record.
GAUAUCUAGGCAGUGACACUGCAGAAUAGCUGUCAAACCACCACACACUGAGCACAGUCUCCAGCAUGACGGUGAAGGUACACAUUGAAUAUUGCAAUGGAUGAGGGUAUGCCUCCCGCUAUCGGGACUUGGCCUUUGAGAUAAAGCAGGCUGUGCCCGGUGCGGUCGUGACUGGCAGGACUGGACGCUCAUCCAGCUUUGAAGUCACUUUAAAUGGCAACGUCAUCUACUCUAAACUGAAGAGUCAUGAAUUUCCAGAUACAAAAGAG